This 271-nucleotide unclassified non-coding RNA is filed under the name Ascomycota sp. RNAcentral's name for it is "partial contains small subunit ribosomal RNA, internal transcribed spacer 1, and 5.8S ribosomal RNA". The stretch from base 1 to 47 matches the Rfam family "Eukaryotic small subunit ribosomal RNA", at positions 1785 to 1831 of the family's 1831-position model. Lineage: Eukaryota; Fungi; Ascomycota. The record is from RNAcentral.
AAAGUCGUAACAAGGUUUCCGUAGGUGAACCUGCGGAAGGAUCAUUACAAAUCCAUCACGUCUCACUCGAGACCACGUUGAAAUGUUCCCCAAGCCGAGCCUCAGAUCUACACCAAACUGGCCGCCCACGUUCGUAAGAACGCGCGCAGCGCCGGGGAUCUGCAGGAUCGAUUGGGCUUAUUAAACUAGUCUUCCUGUUGCACAAUUGUAUCUGGAUUCAUCCAUCAAAUGAAAACUUGUACAACUUAUAACAAUGGAUCUCUAGGCUCUU